This 253-nucleotide ribosomal RNA is filed under the name uncultured bacterium. RNAcentral's name for it is "partial 16S ribosomal RNA". It matches the Rfam family "Bacterial small subunit ribosomal RNA", at positions 524 to 776 of the family's 1533-position model. The record is from RNAcentral.
UACGUAGGGUGCAAGCGUUGUCCGGAAUUAUUGGGCGUAAAGAGCUCGUAGGCGGUUUGUCGCGUCUGCUGUGAAAACGCGAGGCUCAACCUCGCGCCUGCAGUGGGUACGGGCAGACUAGAGUGCGGUAGGGGAGAUUGGAAUUCCUGGUGUAGCGGUGGAAUGCGCAGAUAUCAGGAGGAACACCGAUGGCGAAGGCAGAUCUCUGGGCCGUUACUGACGCUGAGAAGCGAAAGCAUGGGGAGCGAACAGG